Molecule: ribosomal RNA, 486 nt
Filed under: uncultured bacterium
Lineage: Bacteria
Description: bacterial SSU rRNA
Rfam family: Bacterial small subunit ribosomal RNA
Source: RNAcentral
GACGAACGCUGGCGGCGUGCCUAACACAUGCAAGUCGAACGGAGAUAUGCGAACGAGGCCUUCGGGCGGAGAUUGCAUAUUUUAGUGGCGGACGGGCGAGUAACGCGUGAGCAACCUGCCCUUCAGAGGGGGAUAACGGCUGGAAACGGCCGCUAAUACCGCAUGACAUAUACACAAGGCAUCUUGAGUAUAUCAAAGGAGGAAUCCGCUGAAGGAUGGGCUCGCGUCCGAUUAGCUGGUUGGUGAGGUAACGGCUCACCAAGGCGACGAUCGGUAGCCGAACUGAGAGGUUGAUCGGCCGCAUUGGGACUGAGACACGGCCCAGACUCCUACGGGAGGCAGCAGUGGGGGAUAUUGCACAAUGGAGGAAACUCUGAUGCAGCGACGCCGCGUGGGGGAAGAAGGUCUUCGGGAUUGUAAACCUCAGUAGUCAGGGAAGAAGCAAGUGACGGUACCUGAAGAGUAAGCUCCGGCUAACUACGUGCC